GCCGGUGUGGCAGACAAGUGCGCCGAUCUUGUAAAUCGGAACAUGCGGGUGAGAACCCUGUCACCGGCUCCA
RNAcentral lists this transfer RNA (72 nucleotides) under Verrucomicrobiia bacterium. Its description in RNAcentral is "tRNA-Thr". It matches the Rfam family "tRNA". From Rfam's summary of the family: Transfer RNA (tRNA) molecules are approximately 80 nucleotides in length. Their secondary structure includes four short double-helical elements and three loops (D, anti-codon, and T loops). The record is from RNAcentral. Lineage: Bacteria; Pseudomonadati; Verrucomicrobiota; Verrucomicrobiia.